CCUACGGGGGGCAGCAGUGAGGAAUAUUGGUCAAUGGGCGCGAGCCUGAACCAGCAAAGUAGCGUGAAGGAUGACGGCCCUACGGGUUGUAAACUUCUUUUAUAAAGGAAUAAAGUGAGGCACGUGUGCCUUUUUGUAUGUACGUUAUGAAUAAGGAUGGGCUAACUCCGUGCCAGCAUCCGCGGUAAUACGGAGGAUCCGAGCGUUAUCCGGAUUUAUUGGGUUGAAAGGGAGCGUAGAUGGGUUGUUAAGUCAGUUGUGACAGUUUGCGGCUCAACCGUAAAAUUGCAAUUGAUACUGGCAGCCUUGAGUACAGUUGAGGUAGGCGGAAUUCGUUGUGUAGCGGUGAAAUGCUUCGAUAUCACG
RNAcentral lists this ribosomal RNA (366 nucleotides) under uncultured bacterium. RNAcentral's name for it is "partial 16S ribosomal RNA". It matches the Rfam family "Bacterial small subunit ribosomal RNA", at positions 338 to 701 of the family's 1533-position model. The record is from RNAcentral.